GUCCACGCCCUAACGAUGUCAACUGGUUGUUGGGAGGGUUUCUUCUCAGUAACGAAGCUAACGCGUGAAGUUGACCGCCUGGGGAGUACGGCCGCAAGGUUGAAACUCAAAGGAAUUGACGGGACCCGCACAAGCGGUGGAUGAUGUGGUUUAAUUCGAUGCAACGCGAAACCUUACCUACCCUUGACAUGGCAGGAAUCCCGCAGAGAUGUGGGAGUGCUCGAAAGAGAACCUGCACACAGGUGCUGCAUGGCCGUCGU
This 260-nucleotide ribosomal RNA is filed under the name uncultured bacterium. RNAcentral's name for it is "partial 16S ribosomal RNA". It matches the Rfam family "Bacterial small subunit ribosomal RNA", at positions 793 to 1055 of the family's 1533-position model. The record is from RNAcentral.